AUGGCGAAAUCAAAAACACAAGUGUCAGCUUAUGCUGGUGAGGACAUGGAGCAAGGUAAACCGCCACCCGGCUUACAUCUGGAUGUAGUAAAAGGAGACAAGCUAAUUGAGAAGCUGAUUAUUGAUGAGAAGAAGUAUUACUUAUUUGGGAGGAACCCUGAUCUGUGUGACUUUACCAUCGACCACCAGUCUUGCUCUCGGGUCCACGCAGCACUAAUGUACCACAAGCACCUGAAGAGAAUUUUCUUGAUAGACCUCAACAGCACACAUGGCACUUUCUUGGGUCACAUUCGGCUGGAACCUCACAAGCCUCAACAGAUUCCCAUCGAUUCUACGGUCUCAUUUGGCGCAUCCACGAGGGCAUACACUCUUCGAGAGAAGCCUCAGACAUUGCCAUCAGCUGUGAAAGGAGAUGAGAAGAUGGGCGGAGAGGACGACGAACUUAAGGGCCUGUUGGGACUUCCCGAAGAGGAACCCAAGCUAGAUAACCUGACAGAGUUCAACACUGCCCACAACAAGCAGAUUUCAACCCUCACUAUUGAGGAGGGAAGUCUGGACAUUCAGAGACCAAAGAGGAAGAGGAAGAACUCUAGGGUGACCUUCAGUGAGGAUGAUGAGAUCAUCAACCCAGAGGGUGUGGAUCCGUCUGUUGGGCAAUUCCGGAACAUGGUGCAGACUGCAGUCGUUCCAGUCAAGAAGAAGCGGAUGGAGGGCUCUAGCUCUCUGGGCCUGGAGGAGUCAGGGAGCAGGCGCAUGCAGAACUUUGCCUUCAGCGGAGGACCAUACGGGGGCCUGCCUCCCACACACAGUGAAACAGGCUCCCAGCCGCAUGGCAUUCAUGCGACAGCACUCAUUAGUGGCUUGCCCAUGCCAUACCCGAACCUCGCCCCUGAUGUGGACUUGACUCCUGUUGUGCCAUCAGCGGUGACCAUAAACCCCACACCAAACCCGGCAGUCUAUAACCCUAAAGCUGUAAAUGAACCUAAGAAGAAGAAAUAUGCGAAGGAGGCUUGGCCGGGCAAGAAGCCCACACCUUCCUUACUGAUUUGAUAUUUUGGUUAUGGAGAGGGUGGGGAGGGUUGGGGAGGGGUGGAGGGGUGACAAGGGGAGCUACUGAACUAGGGAGAAAACUUUCCAUGUGUGCAGUAUCGUCUUUCAGAAAGUCUCCUGAGGUCCUAACCAUGUAAUACUGAGUCUAAGGGUGGGGCUAAAGUUACCAGUAAAGACCUGAGUCAGAACACUUGAAGUGUAGAGAAAGGCUUCCCAGGCCCUUCUGAGCAGACUGUCCUGGUGCUGUCCCUGUGUCACCUACUAGGACCAUUUUUUUAUGUGAAGUAGCUCACGGGAGGAAUCUAGAGCUAUGGAGAGGGUGGGAGCCUCAUUAGUAUUCCC
Molecule: RNA transcript, 1392 nt
Organism: Mastomys coucha (southern multimammate mouse)
Lineage: Eukaryota; Metazoa; Chordata; Mammalia; Rodentia; Muridae
Gene name: nuclear inhibitor of protein phosphatase 1 pseudogene
Exons: 2
Source: RefSeq, a predicted model, not a curated record